AAUAUUGGACAAUGGGUGAGAGCCUGAUCCAGCCAUCCCGCGUGCAGGAAGACGGCCUUAUGGGUUGUAAACUGCUUUUAUACAGGAAUAAACCAUCUUACGAGUAGGGUGUUGAAGGUACUGUAUGAAUAAGCACCGGCUAACUCCGUGCCAGCAGCCGCGGUAAUACGGAGGGUGCAAGCGUUAUCCGGAUUUAUUGGGUUUAAAGGGUCAGCAGGCGGGCUUGUAAGUCAGGGGUGAAAUCCGGCAGCUUAACUGUCGAACUGCCUUUGAUACUGAAGGUCUUGAGUGGGAAUGAAGCAGCUGGAAUGUGUGGUGUAGCGGUGAAAUGCAUAGAUAUCACACAGAACACCGAUAGCGAAGGCAGGUUGCUAAUUCUCAACUGACGCUGAGGGACGAAAGCGUGGGGAGCGAACAGG
Molecule: ribosomal RNA, 419 nt
Filed under: uncultured bacterium
Lineage: Bacteria
Description: partial 16S ribosomal RNA
Rfam family: Bacterial small subunit ribosomal RNA
Source: RNAcentral